Molecule: ribosomal RNA, 483 nt
Filed under: uncultured bacterium
Lineage: Bacteria
Description: partial 16S ribosomal RNA
Rfam family: Bacterial small subunit ribosomal RNA
Source: RNAcentral
AUUGAACGCUGGCAGCAGGCCUAACACAUGCAAGUCGAGCGGAUGAAGGGAGCUUGCUCCUGGAUUCAGCGGCGGACGGGUGAGUAAUGCCUAGGAAUCUGCCUGGUAGUGGGGGAUAACGUCCGGAAACGGGCGCUAAUACCGCAUACGUCCUGAGGGAGAAAGUGGGGGAUCUUCGGACCUCACGCUAUCAGAUGAGCCUAGGUCGGAUUAGCUAGUUGGUGGGGUAAAGGCCUACCAAGGCGACGAUCCGUAACUGGUCUGAGAGGAUGAUCAGUCAAACUGGACAUGGGAAACGGUCCAGCACCCUACGGGAGGGAGAAGUGGGGAAUUUUGGACAAGGGGGGAAAGCCUGACCCAGCCAGGCCGGGGGUGUGAAGAAGGUUUUCGGUUUGUAAAGCACUUUAAGUUGGGAGGAAGGGCAGUAAGUUAAAACCUUGCUGUUUUGGAGUUACCAACAGAAUAAGCACCGGCUAACUUCGU